Molecule: ribosomal RNA, 383 nt
Filed under: uncultured bacterium
Lineage: Bacteria
Description: bacterial SSU rRNA
Rfam family: Bacterial small subunit ribosomal RNA
Source: RNAcentral
GAUGAACGCUGGCGGUAUGCCUAACACAUGCAAGUCGAACGCACCUUUAUGGUGAGUGGCGGACGGGUGAGUAACACGUGAGAAUCUGCCUCUUGGUCGGGGAUAACAGUUGGAAACGACUGCUAAUACCGGAUGAGCCGCAAGGUAAAAGAUUUAUUGCCAAGAGAAGAGCUCGCGCCUGAUUAGCUAGAUGGUGGGGUAAAAGCCUACCAUGGCGACGAUCAGUAGCUGGUCUGAGAGGAUGAGCAGCCACACUGGGACUGAGACACGGCCCAGACUCCUACGGGAGGCAGCAGUGGGGAAUUUUCCGCAAUGGGCGAAAGCCUGACGGAGCAAUACCGCGUGAGGGAGGAAGGUUCUUGGAUCGUAAACCUCAAAACUUA